GACGAACGCUGGCGGCGUGCUUAACACAUGCAAGUCGAACGGAAAGGCCCUGCUUUUGUGUGUUGCUCGUGUGGCGAACGGGUGAGUAACACAUGAGUAACAUCUCCUUGACUUUGGGAUAACUUCACGGGACUGGGGCUAAUACCGCGUAUAAGCUCCUGCUCCAUGGUGGUGGUAAGAGAAAUUCGGCGGUGGUGGAUGGUCUGGCGGGUUCUGAGCUUGUUUGUGUGGUAGUGGAUUACCAAGCUUAUGACGGCUAGGCGGCCUAGGAGAGGGACCGGCCACAAGGGGACUGAGGUAGGGCGCAGACGCCUACGGGAGGCAGUAGUGGGGAAUAUGGCAGAACGGGCGGAAGUGUGAUGCAGCGACGCCGCGUGCGGGAUGCUGUCCUUCGGGUUGUAAACAGCUUUCGCAUGUGAUGAAGCGUGAGUGACGGUAAUGGGUAAAGAAGCACCGGCUAACUACGUG
This 468-nucleotide ribosomal RNA is filed under the name uncultured bacterium. RNAcentral's name for it is "partial 16S ribosomal RNA". It matches the Rfam family "Bacterial small subunit ribosomal RNA", at positions 28 to 507 of the family's 1533-position model. The record is from RNAcentral.